UAGAGAAAAGGUAAUCUCAUAUCUCAAUAAGCCAACUAUGUAUUUCAUUUUUUUGGUGCAUGUUAACAGUGAGAAGGCACACAACCAGUACUGACCCAAGAAUCUCAAGGCAACAAUGGCACAUAAGGGGAAAGAAAAAGAAUUUAGGUCUUUGACCACAAACAAAAAGAAAAUACUUUCAUUUAGACAAACAGCAGCAAGCAUACUCUAG
RNAcentral lists this unclassified non-coding RNA (211 nucleotides) under Hevea brasiliensis (rubber tree). The record is from RNAcentral. Lineage: Eukaryota; Viridiplantae; Streptophyta; Magnoliopsida; Malpighiales; Euphorbiaceae.